This 465-nucleotide ribosomal RNA is filed under the name Lygodactylus sp. 28 aff. tolampyae E MV-2021. Its description in RNAcentral is "partial large subunit ribosomal RNA". It matches the Rfam family "Bacterial large subunit ribosomal RNA", at positions 1938 to 2597 of the family's 2925-position model. Lineage: Eukaryota; Metazoa; Chordata; Lepidosauria; Squamata; Gekkonidae. The record is from RNAcentral.
UAUCCUAACCGUGCAAAGGUAGCGCAAUCACUUGCCCUUUAAUUGGGGGCUAGUAUGAAUGGUUACAUGAGGAUCUAACUGUCUCCUAAGACCAAUCAAUGAACUUGAUGAUUCAGUACAAAUGCUGAAAUAAUAUCACAAGACGAGAAGACCCUGUGGAACUUAAAGUCACUAAGCUAGUAAAACGGAUAUUACACCAUCUAACCUAGCAAAAACUUUCAGUUGGGGCAACUACGGAGUACAACAAAACCUCCACGAACUGCAGCUAUUGUCUGCACCCAAGGCUCACAUGCCGACACCAGAUCCAGCAUGGCUGAUCUUCGAACAAAGCUACCCCAGGGAUAACAGCGCCAUCCCCUUCAAGAGUCCAUAUCGUAAAGGGGGUUUACGACCUCGAUGUUGGAUCAGGACACCCAGGCGGUGCAGCCGCUGCCAAAGGCUCGUUUGUUCAACGAAUAAUGUCCU